This 228-nucleotide ribosomal RNA is filed under the name uncultured bacterium. RNAcentral's name for it is "partial 16S ribosomal RNA". It matches the Rfam family "Bacterial small subunit ribosomal RNA", at positions 15 to 236 of the family's 1533-position model. The record is from RNAcentral.
GAUCCUGGCUCAGGAUGAACGCUAGCUACAGGCUUAACACAUGCAAGUCGAGGGGCAGCAUGUUGGUUGCUUGCAACCAACGAUGGCGACCGGCGCACGGGUGAGUAACGCGUAUCCAACCUGCCCUUGUCCAUCGGAUAACCCGUCGAAAGGCGGACUAACACGAUAUGCAGUUCUCCGCAGGCAUCUAACGAGAACGAAAUGUGAAGGAGAAGGAUGGGGAUGCGU